CUAGCAUAUCAAUAAGCGGAGGAAAAGAAACCAACAGGGAUUGCCUCAGUAACGGCGAGUGAAGCGGCAACAGCUCAAAUUUGAAAUCUGGCGUCCUUUGGGCGUCCGAGUUGUAAUUUGAAGAGGGUGCUUUGGCGUUGACGGCGGUCUAAGUCCCUUUGGAACAGGGCAUCACAGAGGGUGAGAAUCCCGUAUGUGGCCGCAAGCCUUCGCCGUGUAAAGCCCCUUUCGACGAGUCGAGUUGUUUGGGAAUGCAGCUCUAAAUGGGAGGUAAAUAUCUUCUAAAGCUAAAUACCGGCCAGAGACCGAUAGCGCACAAGUAGAGUGAUCGAAAGAUGAAAAGCACUUUGGAAAGAGAGUCAAACAGCACGUGAAAUUGUUGAAAGGGAAGCGCUUGCAGCCAGACUUGCUCGCAGUUGCUCAUCCGGGCUCUCGCCCGGUGCACUCUUCUGCGGGCAGGCCAGCAUCAGUUUGGGCAGCCGGAUAAAGACCUCUGUCACGUAUCUUCCUUCGGGAAGACCUUAUAGGGGAGGUGUAAUGCGGCUAGCCCGGACUGAGGUCCGCGCAUUUGCUAGGAUGCUGGCGUAAUGGCUGUAAGCGGCCCGUCUUGAAACACGGACCAAGGAGUCUAACAUCUAUGCGAGUGUUUGGGUGUCAAGCCCGGGCGCGCAAUGAAAGUGAACGGAGGUGGGAACCCUCUCGGGGGUGCACCAUCGACCGAUCCUGAUGUCUUCGGAUGGAUUUGAGUAAGAGCAUAGCUGUUGGGACCCGAAAGAUGGUGAACUAUGCUUGAAUAGGGUGAAGCCAGAGGAAACUCUGGUGGAGGCUCGCAGCGGUUCUGACGUGCAAAUCGAUCGUCAAAUUUGGGCAUAGGGGCGAAAGACUAAUCGAACUAUCUAGUAGCUGGUUCCUGCGAGCU
This 919-nucleotide ribosomal RNA is filed under the name Diaporthe sp. RNAcentral's name for it is "partial large subunit ribosomal RNA". It matches the Rfam family "Eukaryotic large subunit ribosomal RNA", at positions 34 to 968 of the family's 3401-position model. Lineage: Eukaryota; Fungi; Ascomycota; Sordariomycetes; Diaporthales; Diaporthaceae. The record is from RNAcentral.